RNAcentral lists this ribosomal RNA (301 nucleotides) under uncultured bacterium. RNAcentral's name for it is "partial 16S ribosomal RNA". It matches the Rfam family "Bacterial small subunit ribosomal RNA", at positions 509 to 807 of the family's 1533-position model. The record is from RNAcentral.
CAGCCGCCGCGGGAAUACGAAGGGUGCAAGCGUUAAUCGGAAUUACUGGGCGUAAAGCGUGCGUAGGCGGUUUGUUAAGUCUGUUGUGAAAUCCCCGGGCUCAACCUGGGAAUGGCAAUGGAUACUGGCAAGCUAGAGUGUGUCAGAGGAUGGUGGAAUUCCCGGUGUAGCGGUGAAAUGCGUAGAGAUCGGGAGGAACAUCAGUGGCGAAGGCGGCCAUCUGGGACAACACUGGCGCUGAGGCACGAAAGCGUGGGGAGCAAACAGGAUUAGAUACCCCAGUAGUCCCUGUCUCUUAUAC